This 207-nucleotide ribosomal RNA is filed under the name uncultured bacterium. RNAcentral's name for it is "partial 16S ribosomal RNA". It matches the Rfam family "Bacterial small subunit ribosomal RNA", at positions 524 to 729 of the family's 1533-position model. The record is from RNAcentral.
UACGUAGGGUGCAAGCGUUGUCCGGAAUUAUUGGGCGUAAAGAGCUCGUAGGCGGUCUGUUGCGUCGGCUGUGAAAACCCGAGGCUCAACCUCGGGCCUGCAGCCGAUACGGGCAGACUAGAGUUCGGCAGGGGAGACUGGAAUUCCUGGUGUAGCGGUGAAAUGCGCAGAUAUCAGGAGGAACACCGGUGGCGAAGGCGGGGUCUC